Molecule: long non-coding RNA, 1897 nt
Organism: Frieseomelitta varia
Lineage: Eukaryota; Metazoa; Arthropoda; Insecta; Hymenoptera; Apidae
Exons: 3
Source: RefSeq, a predicted model, not a curated record
GCCUUCUCGAGAUAGAAAGCUAUCGUGGCAGUGAUCAGGAUUACCAAAGCGUUGCGACAGAUGGAAAGAAACCACAACAGUUUCUUCAGAGACAGAAUGUAUAAAAUUAUUAUUAAAUUCAAAGAAAAAAAAAAAAAAGGAGCUGAAACUGCAUUCCUUCAUCUCACGAUGGGAACAUCUUGAAUCAGGCUUACUUUGAAGAAUAAAAGGAACGCUAUACUGCAAAUUCCAAGAACGAAAUCCGGCAUCCGUAUGUCUCUGACGUUUUGGAAUAUCUUGAUCAAAUUGCCAAUAAUAUUGUGCGCCUUGAACCUCAGUCCCAAUAGCCCUUGCAAUUGAGAUACGAUUAUAAUGAUUGAAGUGGCGGAAGUGAAACCUGACGUGACUGGCAUCGAUAUAAAAUCUACUAAGAAGCCUGUACGAAGAAAUUUCAUCGUUUAAAAUAUACUCUAAGGCGGUACAAACAAUGAUAUACGAUACUUGUUUCAAAUAGUUGUUGUAUAACUCAGUUGUAAAAAAAGUGGAACGUUCAAUUUGCUUUGUUUUUUUUUUCUUUUUUUCUUUUUAAGUUAUUUGGAGCAAUUUCGUAAGUGUCAAUUUUAUUUGCAUUGUUGCAAUUGACAUUAUAAUGACAGAUUAUUUUCAGCAGUAACGCUCGUCAAAGACCAGUAAACCACAUCGAGAAUUUAUAAAAUGCAAUAUUUUCUAUAAGGAAGCGAGAAAGGAUAGUCAUUUUUAAGAAAUGGUCUUUCCUCAUAUGUUGUAUAAUAAUUAGAUUGAUUGAUUUUCACGCAUUUGUGAACAAUUUAAAGUUGCAAAAAUGCAAAAUACUACAAAAUAUAGUAUGAUAGGUGGCAAAGUUUUUCAUUUAGAAGUGCCACUUAUUUAAUGUUUUAUGUGUAAUGAUAUUUGUACAACAAUAAUCCCAACGAAUAAUCCUUAAUAUAAAGGAUAAAAACUAAAGGAGUUUCGAGUUGAAGCAAAUUGUUACGAACACUAUCUUCCCUUAUUGAAUCAGAAGGAUAAUCGCUGUCACGAGUAUGACUCGAUUUAUAAAGCAAGGGGUUAAGAGGAAAAGCAAUCUGUGCGUGUACUGUACGUGUAUGCACAUACAUAUAUAAUAUAUUAAAUCGCGCAUUUGUCCAGAAUGCACGAGGAAACCUUCGAAAGCAAUAAACGAACAUUUAAAGUAAUAAACGAAUAUUUAAAUUGUUGUGUUAAACAAUUAGUUAAGAUAUGAAAAAGGAUGUAAUUUAUUACAAAAUCUGUUCACACUGUGAAUAUUUUCGUUUCCUGCCUUAGCCUCGUCGUACAUUUUGGAGAUUCGCUAAUUUCGCGUAUCAAGAAAUUAGCGAAUUAGUACCUUUCAUAAAUAAUCUCUCGUGACGUAUUUUCCUUACGUGAUUAUUUACUUAACCGAGAUAAUUAAUCUAAGUGGACUUUAAUCCAGGAUUUAUCGUUUACCAUGUCACUUUACAUUAGAUUAUAUUAUACUAGGAAGUAGUAAUGUCAAAUACCAAAUAUCAAACAUAAUAAUGAAACGAGUGAUUAAAGUACUGGUAAUUGUUGGAUAUGAACAAUUUGCUAAAAUUAAUAUUUGGCUGGGUUAUCGGUUCAGGCAGCUCGAUGUAAAAAUUUGCCAAUUGCAAAUUUUGGCGAGGAUCUAAUAUCUCUGAAAGCAAUAAAACCACAAUAAAUAGAGACAAAUGACUGAUAGUCAAGAUAUACUAUACUAGAGUAUCUCUGACAUAAAACUAGUUAAGAUUUUUGAAAAUUAAUUUGAUCGAUACGAGCCUAAAUGUAGCAAGCCCAUCAGUAGCUCCAUGCAUCCGGCGAGAAAACAAAAAAGCACGACAAAAUCCACUGGCAUGUUUCUGGUGUAUUCAAAAGUGAGAAG